AUUGAACGCUGGCGGCAUGCCUUACACAUGCAAGUCGAACGGCAGCGCGGGGCAACCUGGCGGCGAGUGGCGAACGGGUGAGUAAUAUAUCGGAACGUACCCUAGAGUGGGGGAUAACGUAGCGAAAGUUACGCUAAUACCGCAUACGAUCUGUGGAUGAAAGUGGGGGAUCGCAAGACCUCAUGCUCCUGGAGCGGCCGAUAUCUGAUUAGCUAGUUGGUAGGGUAAAAGCCUACCAAGGCAUCGAUCAGUAGCUGGUCUGAGAGGACGACCAGCCACACUGGAACUGAGACACGGUCCAGACUCCUACGGGAGGCAGCAGUGGGGAAUUUUGGACAAUGGGCGAAAGCCUGAUCCAGCAAUGCCGCGUGAGUGAAGAAGGCCUUCGGGUUGUAAAGCUCUUUUGUCAGGGAAGAAACGGUGGCCUCUAAUACAGGUUGCUAAUGACGGUACCUGAAGAAUAAGCACCGGCUAACUACGUGCCAGCAGCCGCGGUAAUACGUAGGGUGCAAGCGUUAAUCGGAAUUACUGGGCGUAAAGCGUGCGCAGGCGGUUUUGUAAGUCUGUCGUGAAAUCCCCGGGCUCAACCUGGGAAUUGCGAUGGAGACUGCAAGGCUAGAAUCUGGCAGAGGGGGGUAGAAUUCCACGUGUAGCAGUGAAAUGCGUAGAGAUGUGGAGGAACACCGAUGGCGAAGGCAGCCCCCUGGGUCAAGAUUGACGCUCAUGCACGAAAGCGUGGGGAGCAAACAGGAUUAGAUACCCUGGUAGUCCACGCCCUAAACGAUGUCUACUAGUUGUCGGGUCUUAAUUGACUUGGUAACGCAGCUAACGCGUGAAGUAGACCGCCUGGGGAGUACGGUCGCAAGAUUAAAACUCAAAGGAAUUGACGGGGACCCGCACAAGCGGUGGAUGAUGUGGAUUAAUUCGAUGCAACGCGAAAAACCUUACCUACCCUUGACAUGGCUGGAACCCUGGAGAGAUCCGGGGGUGCUCGAAAGAGAACCAGUACACAGGUGCUGCAUGGCUGUCGUCAGCUCGUGUCGUGAGAUGUUGGGUUAAGUCCCGCAACGAGCGCAACCCUUGUCAUUAGUUGCUACGAAAGAGCACUCUAAUGAGACUGCCGGUGACAAACCGGAGGAAGGUGGGGAUGACGUCAAGUCCUCAUGGCCCUUAUGGGUAGGGCUUCACACGUCAUACAAUGGUACAUACAGAGCGCCGCCAACCCGCGAGGGGGGGCUAAUCGCAGAAAGUGUAUCGUAGUCCGGAUUGUAGUCUGCAACUCGACUACAUGAAGUUGGAAUCGCUAGUAAUCGCGGAUCAGCAUGUCGCGGUGAAUACGUUCCCGGGUCU
This 1350-nucleotide ribosomal RNA is filed under the name uncultured bacterium. Its description in RNAcentral is "bacterial SSU rRNA". It matches the Rfam family "Bacterial small subunit ribosomal RNA", at positions 28 to 1381 of the family's 1533-position model. The record is from RNAcentral.